AUUGAACGCUGGCGGCAGGCCUAACACAUGCAAGUCGAGCGAGCGACGGACGGGUGAGUAAUAUAUGGGGGUCUGCCCGUUAGAGAGGGAGAACUAAUGGAAACGGUAGCUAAUACCGCAUACUCUCGAAUGAACCCAGAUGGUAUUAGCUAGUAGGUGCGGUAAUGGCUAACCUAUGCGACGAUCCCUAGCUGGUCUGAGAGGAUGAUCAGCCACACUGGGACUGAGACACGGUCCAGACUCCUACGGGAGGCAGCAGUGGGGAAUAUUGCACAAUGGGCGCAAGCCUGAUGCAGCCAUGCCGCGUGUGUGAAGAAGGCCCUCGGGUUGUAAAGCACUUUCAGUGGGGAGGCGUUACCGACAGAAGAAGCACCGGCUAACUCCGUGCCAGCAGCCGCGGUAAUUC
Molecule: ribosomal RNA, 406 nt
Filed under: uncultured bacterium
Lineage: Bacteria
Description: partial 16S ribosomal RNA
Rfam family: Bacterial small subunit ribosomal RNA
Source: RNAcentral